GAAGGGUGCAAACGUUAUUCGGAAUCAUUGGGUGUAAAGGGUGCGUAGACGGUAUGCCAAGCUCGUUGUUAAAUCCUCCGGCUUAACCGGAGAAUUGCAGUGGGAACUGGUAUACUCGAGGAUGGAAGAGAGAAGUGGAAUUCCCGGAGUAGCGGUAAAAUGCGUAGAUCUCGGGAGGAACACCGAUGGCGAAGGCAGCUUCUUGGUCCAUUCCUGACGUUGAGGCACGAGAGCGUGGGGAGCAAACAGGAUUAGAUACCCUGGUAGUCCACGCCGUAAACGAUAAUCACUAGACGUUGGAUUGGCUUUGCUAGUUCAGUGUCGAAGCUAACGCGUUAAGUGAUUCACCUGGGGAGUACGGUCGCAAGAUUA
Molecule: ribosomal RNA, 372 nt
Filed under: uncultured organism
Description: partial 16S ribosomal RNA
Rfam family: Bacterial small subunit ribosomal RNA
Source: RNAcentral